UUCCUAGCUUCAACGGGAACUGUUCUAAAAUUGGAACGAUGCAGAGUAGAUUUGCAUGGCCCCUGCUGAAAGCGUUUUUUAUCUUAAAAUUAUCAUCAAAUGAU
Small nuclear RNA from Uranotaenia lowii, 104 nucleotides. NCBI's taxonomy places the organism in Eukaryota, Metazoa, Arthropoda, Insecta, Diptera, Culicidae. The record is from RefSeq and is a predicted model, not a curated record.